This 1490-nucleotide ribosomal RNA is filed under the name Emiliania huxleyi. Its description in RNAcentral is "partial Eukaryotic large subunit ribosomal RNA". It matches the Rfam family "Eukaryotic large subunit ribosomal RNA", at positions 1189 to 2697 of the family's 3401-position model. The record is from RNAcentral. Lineage: Eukaryota; Haptophyta; Isochrysidales; Noelaerhabdaceae.
UUAACUGCUCGCUCAUCAGAUACCAUAAAGGGUGUUGGUUCAUUUUAACAGCAGGACGGUGGUCAUGGAAGUCGGAACCCGCUAAGGAGUGUGUAACAACUCACCUGCCGAAGGUACUAGCCCUGAAAAUGGAUGGCGCUCAAGCGGACCACCGAUGCGCGGCCGCCGGCGCGAGCGCGAGGCGCCGGCGAGUAGGAGGGCGCGGGGCUCGCGGCGCAGCCUUGGGCGCGAGCCUGGGUGAAGCGGGCCCCGGUGCAGAUCUUGGUGGUAGUAGCAAAUAUUCAAAUGAGAACUUUGAAGACUGAAGUGGAGAAAGGUUCCGUGUGAACAGCAGUUGGACACGGGUGAGCCGACCCUAAGAGACAGGAAAACUCCGCCGAACGCGGCUGGUUCUGUCAGCCCGUCCGUCGAAAGGGAAUCGGGUUAAUAUUCCCGAGCCAGCGCGUGGAUGGUGGGCGGCGACGCGAACGAACCCGGAGACGCCGGCGGGAGCCCUGGGAAGAGUUCUCUUUUCUUCUUAACUGCCUCCUGCCCUGGAAUCGGUUUAGCCGGAGCGAGGGCUACACGGCAGGCAAAGCACCCUAAGUCUUGGGGUGUCCGGCGCGCUCCCGACGGCCCGUGAAAAUCCGGGGGAGCGGUUCGUUCUCACGCCUGGUCGUACUCAUAACCGCAUCAGGUCUCCAAGGUGAACAGCCUCUAGUCGAUAGAGCAAUGUAGGUAAGGGAAGUCGGCAAAAUGGUUCCGCAACCUCGGGAGAAGGAAUGGCUCUGAAGGCUGGGCGCAGGGGUCCUAGGCUCGAGGCCGGCUGGCUGCGCGGGGACUACGGCCUCACGGCUGCGGAUCCCGCGCGGCCGUCCGGCGGACGGCCUAGGAGCGCUCCGGCUCUCCCUGCGCGACGAACAGCCGCUUCAGAACUGGCGCGGACAAGGGGAAUCCGACUGUUUAAUUAAAACAAAGCAUUGCGAUGGCCCGCGAGGGUGCUGACGCAAUGUGAUUUCUGCCCAGUGCUCUGAAUGUCAAAGUGAAGAAAUUCAACCAAGCGCGGGUAAACGGCGGGAGUAACUAUGACUCUCUUAAGGUAGCCAAAUGCCUCGUCAUCCAAUUAGUGACGCGCAUGAAUGGAUUCGUGAGAUUCCCACUGUCCCUAUCUACUGUCUAGCGAAGCCACAGCCAAGGGAACGGGCUUGGAAGAAUCAGCGGGGAAAGAAGCCCUGUUGAGCUUGACUCUAGUCUGUUACUGUGGAACGACUUGAUGGGUGUAGAAUAUGCGGGAGGGGCAACCCGACAGUGAAAUACCGCAACCGUCAACGUUGUUUUACUUACUCGGUGGCGCGGAGGGAGGCUCGCCUCACUUCUGGAUCCAAGCCGCUUCGUGCGCGCGAUCCGCGUCGGGGACACUAACAGGUGGGGAGUUUGGCUGGGGCGGCACGUCUGUUAAAAAAUAACGCAGGCGCCCGAUUUUGAGCUCAAUGAGAACAGAAAUCUCAUGU